RNAcentral lists this ribosomal RNA (442 nucleotides) under uncultured bacterium. RNAcentral's name for it is "partial 16S ribosomal RNA". It matches the Rfam family "Bacterial small subunit ribosomal RNA", at positions 338 to 795 of the family's 1533-position model. The record is from RNAcentral.
CCUACGGGAGACAGCAGUAGGGAAUCUUUCACAAUGGGCGAAAGCCUGAUGGAGCAACGCCGCGUGCAGGAUGAAGGCCUUCGGGUUGUAAACUGCUUUUAUAAGCGAGAAAUAUGAUGGUAACUUAUGAAUAAGGAUCGGCGAACUACGUGCCAGCAGCCGCGGUCAUACGUAGGAUCCGAGCAUUAUCCGGAGUGACUGGGUGUAAAGAGUUGCGUAGGUGGCAUAAUAAGUAGCUAGUGAAAUCUGGUGGCUCAACCAUUCAGACUAUUAGCUAAACUGUUAAGCUCGAGACCGUUAGAGGUAACUGGAAUUUCUAGUGUAGGGGUGAAAUGCGUAGAUAUUAGGAGGAACACCAAUAGCGAAGGCAGGUUACUGGGACGGUUCUGACGCUGAGGCACGAAAGCGUAGGGAGCAAACGGGAUUAGAUACCCUUGUAGUC